RNAcentral lists this ribosomal RNA (253 nucleotides) under uncultured bacterium. RNAcentral describes it as "partial 16S ribosomal RNA". It matches the Rfam family "Bacterial small subunit ribosomal RNA", at positions 524 to 776 of the family's 1533-position model. The record is from RNAcentral.
UACGUAGGGGGCAAGCGUUGUUCGGAAUUACUGGGCGUAAAGGGCGCGUAGGCGGCACGGCAAGUCGGGGGUGAAAUCCCGAGGCUCAACCUCGGAACUGCCUUCGAUACUGGCGAUCUUGAGUCCGGGAGAGGUGAGUGGAACUCCGAGUGUAGAGGUGAAAUUCGUAGAUAUUCGCAAGAACACCAGUGGCGAAGGCGGCUCACUGGUCCGGUACUGACGCUGAGGUGCGAAAGCGUGGGGAGCAAACAGG